Molecule: ribosomal RNA, 1587 nt
Filed under: Escherichia coli
Lineage: Bacteria; Pseudomonadati; Pseudomonadota; Gammaproteobacteria; Enterobacterales; Enterobacteriaceae
Description: partial 23S ribosomal RNA
Rfam family: Bacterial large subunit ribosomal RNA
Source: RNAcentral
AGGAGCCCAGAGCCUGAAUCAGUGUGUGUGUUAGUGGAAGCGUCUGGAAAGGCGCGCGAUACAGGGUGACAGCCCCGUACACAAAAAUGCACAUGCUGUGAGCUCGAUGAGUAGGGCGGGACACGUGGUAUCCUGUCUGAAUAUGGGGGGACCAUCCUCCAAGGCUAAAUACUCCUGACUGACCGAUAGUGAACCAGUACCGUGAGGGAAAGGCGAAAAGAACCCCGGCGAGGGGAGUGAAAAAGAACCUGAAACCGUGUACGUACAAGCAGUGGGAGCACGCUUAGGCGUGUGACUGCGUACCUUUUGUAUAAUGGGUCAGCGACUUAUAUUCUGUAGCAAGGUUAACCGAAUAGGGGAGCCGAAGGGAAACCGAGUCUUAACUGGGCGUUAAGUUGCAGGGUAUAGACCCGAAACCCGGUGAUCUAGCCAUGGGCAGGUUGAAGGUUGGGUAACACUAACUGGAGGACCGAACCGACUAAUGUUGAAAAAUUAGCGGAUGACUUGUGGCUGGGGGUGAAAGGCCAAUCAAACCGGGAGAUAGCUGGUUCUCCCCGAAAGCUAUUUAGGUAGCGCCUCGUGAAUUCAUCUCCGGGGGUAGAGCACUGUUUCGGCAAGGGGGUCAUCCCGACUUACCAACCCGAUGCAAACUGCGAAUACCGGAGAAUGUUAUCACGGGAGACACACGGCGGGUGCUAACGUCCGUCGUGAAGAGGGAAACAACCCAGACCGCCAGCUAAGGUCCCAAAGUCAUGGUUAAGUGGGAAACGAUGUGGGAAGGCCCAGACAGCCAGGAUGUUGGCUUAGAAGCAGCCAUCAUUUAAAGAAAGCGUAAUAGCUCACUGGUCGAGUCGGCCUGCGCGGAAGAUGUAACGGGGCUAAACCAUGCACCGAAGCUGCGGCAGCGACGCUUAUGCGUUGUUGGGUAGGGGAGCGUUCUGUAAGCCUGUGAAGGUGUGCUGUGAGGCAUGCUGGAGGUAUCAGAAGUGCGAAUGCUGACAUAAGUAACGAUAAAGCGGGUGAAAAGCCCGCUCGCCGGAAGACCAAGGGUUCCUGUCCAACGUUAAUCGGGGCAGGGUGAGUCGACCCCUAAGGCGAGGCCGAAAGGCGUAGUCGAUGGGAAACAGGUUAAUAUUCCUGUACUUGGUGUUACUGCGAAGGGGGGACGGAGAAGGCUAUGUUGGCCGGGCGACGGUUGUCCCGGUUUAAGCGUGUAGGCUGGUUUUCCAGGCAAAUCCGGAAAAUCAAGGCUGAGGCGUGAUGACGAGGCACUACGGUGCUGAAGCAACAAAUGCCCUGCUUCCAGGAAAAGCCUCUAAGCAUCAGGUAACAUCAAAUCGUACCCCAAACCGACACAGGUGGUCAGGUAGAGAAUACCAAGGCGCUUGAGAGAACUCGGGUGAAGGAACUAGGCAAAAUGGUGCCGUAACUUCGGGAGAAGGCACGCUGAUAUGUAGGUGAGGUCCCUCGCGGAUGGAGCUGAAAUCAGUCGAAGAUACCAGCUGGCUGCAACUGUUUAUUAAAAACACAGCACUGUGCAAACACGAAAGUGGACGUAUACGGUGUGACGCCUGCCCGGUGCCGGAA